Molecule: ribosomal RNA, 515 nt
Filed under: uncultured bacterium
Lineage: Bacteria
Description: partial 16S ribosomal RNA
Rfam family: Bacterial small subunit ribosomal RNA
Source: RNAcentral
GAUGAACGCUGGCGGCGUGCCUAAUACAUGCAAGUCGAGCGAAUGGAUUAAGAGCUUGCUCUUAUGAAGUUAGCGGCGGACGGGUGAGUAACACGUGGGUAACCUGCCCAUAAGACUGGGAUAACUCCGGGAAACCGGGGCUAAUACCGGAUAACAUUUUGAACCGCAUGGUUCGAAAUUGAAAGGCGGCUUCGGCUGUCACUUAUGGAUGGACCCGGGUCGCAUUAGCUAGUUGGUGAGGUAACGGCUCACCAAGGCAACGAUGCGUAGCCGACCUGGGAGGGUGAUGGACAACACUGGGACUGAGACACGUCCUAGAGUCGUACGGGAGGCAGCAGUGGGGAAUCUUCCGCAAUGGACGAAAGUCUGACGGAGCAACGCCGCGUGAGUGAUGAAGGCUUUCGGGUCGUAAAACUCUGUUGUUAGGGAAGAACAAGUGCUAGUUGAAUAAGCUGGCACCUUGACGGUACCUAACCAGAAAGCCACGGCUAACUACGUGCCAGCCGCCGCCGUAA